GCUGGGUCGCGCUUUCGCGCGCGAUCUCACGCGUGUUUGCCUGACGGGUGCUUUUAUUAGACCAAACAUCGCUGGCGGCGCAAGCCGCUAGACUCGUUGAAUGGCGACUCUGGAUAACCUUUUGACAAGCGCACGUACUUCAUUCAUGGAGACGGCGCUGCCACUUUCGAGUGUCUGCCUUAUCAGCUAUCAACCGUUCGUUAUGUGCGACCGAUGGCUUUGACGGGUAACGGGGAAUCAGGGUUCGAUUCCGGAGAGGCAGCCUGAGAAACGGCUACCACGUCCAAGGACGGCAGCAGGCACGCAAAUUACCCAAUCCCAGCACCUGGGGGAGGUAGUGACGAAAUCUAACGAUGCGGGCGCCCAUUCUGGGCCUCGCAAUCGGAAUGAGCAUUUUCUAAACAACCUGUUGAGAACCUACUGAAGGGCAAGUCUGGUGCCAGCAGCCGCGGUAAUUCCAGCUUCAGCAGCAUAUAUUAAAGUUGCUGCGGUUAAAAGGCUCGCAGUUGAAUGUCAGUGUUGGGCGACGGUAAGGUGGACGCUGGAGCAUGGGAACUAAGCGCGCUCGCGUGUUAGCUCGGCGGCCUUCUCUCGGCGUAGCGCUCUCACGCGCGAAACCGGGGAGAGAGCCGUCGUCUCUCGCGGGCGUCUCUCACAAGCUCCCGUCUGUUACAAGCCUCCUCGCUCCAGUACAUGGGCGGUGACUCCUCUCCUCGGAUUGCGUGCGCCUCUGCCGGCCUCGCGAAAGCUGAUCUCUCCCAAUAUUGUCUGUCUUUGUGUCUCUCUCUUUUCUCUCUCUCUCUCUCGCGCCAGGAGCGGGCGCGCGCGCACAAGUGGGCGCGCGCCCAGGUCUUCUCUGGGUCUUGCGGGGAGGAGGAGGAGGAGCAGCAGGCGUAUUCUCGGGGUUUUUGAGGGAGCUUUCGGCCUAGCCUGGCGCUAACGGCGUGGCGUCUUCGUGCCUUGGAGUGGGGCGUGGUCUUGCUCGCGGGCCAGAGUGCGUGUCUGAGGCGCGUACGUGGUCGCUCGCGCGCGUGCGCAGGGAAGGAUAAUCUUCUCCUGCGUGCCGCCGGGCGUUCUCGCGUGCGUUAGCUCUCUCUCGCAUGCCUCCCGCGUCGCGCGCGCCCCUCUGUGUGUGUCGUUGCAUUGUCACCUUGAGUAAAUCGGAGUGCUCAAAGCAGUCGUAAAGGGUUUCGGCCCUGUGAUAAGUCUUGACGGACUGUCUUGAUUUUGCAUGGUAUGUCGGAAAACGACGUCGAGUGCUGGCUAAGAGUUUAUAGAAGUGGUUUCAAGCCAAAAAGCCUCGACGUAAUGAUUAAAAGGAACGGUCGAGGGCAUUGGUAUUGCGAGGCGAGAGGUGAAAUUCUAUGACCCCCGCAAGACCGCCUGAAGCGAAAGCGUCUGCCAAGGACGUUUUCAUUAAUCAUGAACGAAAGUUAGAGGAUCGAAGGCGAUCAGAUACCGCCCUAGUUCUGACCCUAAACGAUGCCAACCAUCAAUCCGCGUGAGCACCCUUUUUGACGGGCUCGGCGGGCAGCUCUCUUUUCACGGGAAACCAGAGUCUCUGGGUUCCGGGGGGAGUCUGGUUGCAAAGCUGAAACUUAAAGGAAUUGACGGAAAGGCACCACCAGGAGUGGAGCCUGCGGCUUAAUUUGACUCAACACGGGCCAUCUCACCAGGCCAGAACUCUAGCACGAUUGACAGAUUGAGAGCUCUUUCUCGAUUGAGUGGAUGGUGGUGCAUGGCCGUUCUUAGUUGGUGGAGUGAUCUGUCUGGUUAAUUCCGAUAACGAACGAGACUCUCCCCUGCUAACUAGUCGGUUGGAUCUUGUAUUUCGAUGCGAGUCGUGCGCCGGGUUUUCCUUCGCCCUGUGGCUGCGGUGCGAGAGUUUCCUGUCUCGCGCUGGGGGUGUGAGUGUGUGCGCGUGGUCGUGGUCUCAUGUAUAUGCGCGCGAUCGCAUGGCGGCGGCGGCGGCGUGAAAGCGUCGCUGUCUCUCGUCCUCGACGCGUGUGUGUGUGUGUGGGCUGUGGCUGUGUGUGCGUGCUCUCCUUGGCGUGGGGCGGGCUCUCUGUGCCGUUCGUUGCUUGGCGUGUCUGGCUUUCCCGGGUCGUACACUCCAAGUCCGCCGCUUAUGCUAUAAAACUCUUCUUAGAGGGAUCAACGGCUCUGAAGCCGUACGAGACUGAGAGCAAUAACAGGUCUGUGAUGCCCUUAGAUGUUCUGGGCCGCACGCGCGCUACAAUGCCGGGCACAGCAGGUGUUUUCCCUACUCCGAAAGGAGCGGGCAACCCUCUGAAAGCCCCUCCUCAUCAAAUGUCUAUCGGCCGGCGAGCAAUCGUCGGUCGAGUGUAUUGGCGUGCUUGGGCCUGGGGCUUGCAAUUCUUUCCCACAAACGAGGAAUGCCUAGUAGCGGCGG
This 2413-nucleotide ribosomal RNA is filed under the name Metacrangonyx samanensis. RNAcentral describes it as "partial 18S ribosomal RNA". It matches the Rfam family "Eukaryotic small subunit ribosomal RNA", at positions 1 to 1626 of the family's 1831-position model. The record is from RNAcentral. Lineage: Eukaryota; Metazoa; Arthropoda; Malacostraca; Amphipoda; Metacrangonyctidae.